AAACAUUGGUUGUGGUACAGUGAUGGAAUUGCUUCAUCACGAAUCAAAGGUUUGGGCUUCGAGUUCUGAUCAUGAAGAAAAUCUUGUUGGAAGCAUCAUUACCAGAAUGGACAUUUAAUCCUGCAGACUGCAACGCAUGAUUCAAAUUAGUAAGGAUUUCAGUACAGAUACUAAACACUAGACGAAAAAUAAAAAUAAAUAAAUCAUAGUAUGUGUGUGUUAUUAAUGGUUCUGUUUUUAUUUUAUCUGGCUCCAUUUGUAUAGGUGUGUUUGCUAGUGACAUAUAUACUGAGAAGCUCUAUUAUUUCUGGCAAGUUCUUAUGGGCCAGGCCGUACUCAUGGUCCAAUCUGAAAAUUUGAAAUGGUCCAAAUACACUUGGAUCUUCGACUCCGUUUAACCAUAGAUUUUGAUUUUAUUAUUUUUUUGUGAAAAAUUUGUUGAUAAAUACUUGAGAAAAAUUACACAUUAUAGAUAAAAUAAUUUCUUAAUUAUAUGGUAUGGUUAAAAUUUUUAAAAAAUAUCCAACAUAAUUAUUUGUUAGUUAUAAUUUUUUUUUUGUGAACCUCCAGAUACAAAUAUAAUAUGCAAUGUAUAUAACAAAAUAUACUCUCUCUCUCUCAUGUAAUUAAUUUUUUAUAAUUCCUCUCUUAGCUAAUUGGCUAGUUUUGCGGCAUUAACUUAUGCACGCUUCUUGAAAAGUAUCUCAAAGAAAAUUUUGCUCUCAAAUCAUUCGAUUUUUUGUCUUUCCCUCAACAUCCAUUGUGGAUUUGCAUUGAAAUUUUUUGGAGUAAUUUCUCAGCCAUAAAUAUCCGUGGAGAUAUGCAUUGAAGAUUUUGCAAUAAUCUUUAAUUUUUUCAGGUAUAUAAAUUUGUUUUCUUUUGAUUUUUUUAGGUAUUUUCUAAAUGAGCCGUUAAGUUUCUUCAAAUUUAAUCUACUUUUGUAGAAUAGAAUUUAUAAAUUGAAAAUCAAAUUAUAUAUUAGUGUCAGUUUCAUUGAAUAAAUCUUGAUGAAUUAUUUUCAUAGUUGGAUAUUUGAUCCUAUUUUAGUGAAUUUGAUAAUUGUAUAUAGGUAGUUUAAUUUUUUGAUCCUAUUUUAGUGAAUUUGAUAAUUGUAUAUAGGUAGUUUAAUUUUAUUUAGUUACAUAAAUCUUUGUAUGUGGGUAUGCAUCGUAUAUUUGUUUUCAUUUGUAUAUUUUUAUAUGUAUAUGAAUAUAUAUUGGAUGUAUGCUCUUGAUGUAUAUAUGUAGAUUUUUGUAUAACAAAUAUGCAUACAAGUUUGUUCUGUGUUGGUAUAGAUAUACAUAUGUAUGUGUUGGUUCAUGUAUACAUUAUGCAUAUAUGUAUAUAUUUGUUCUAUAUCUAUGCAUAUAUACAUAUGCAUAUCUGUAUAUAUGCAUAUACAUAUGCAUGUAAGUAUAAUUAUUUCUAUAUACACAUGUUGAUUUUUAUACAUUGUGUAUCACAUAUUAAAAUGAGUAUCAGCGCGUUAGGAUUCUAAUAUAUAAAUCUUCAAUUAUUUAAUUGUAUAUGUAUAAUAUUAUACUUUUAUACAAUAUAGUGUUGAUACACAUAUCAAUAUAUGUUUAUUCAAUGCACAGUUGAUAUGCAUAUGUAUAUGUUAUACAAAUGUGUUUGUCUCAUAUGUAUAUGCUUAUUUGUUUCCUUGUAUCUUUAUAAUAUUACACGUUUAUAUAAUAGAUAUUGUUGAUAUGCAUAUAUAUAUAUAUAUAUUAUACAUAAUUAAUAAAAUUUUAAUGUGUUUCUAUAUAUAAUUUUUUUUUUGUGUAUAUAUGUGUGUUAAAAUUCAAUUAUACAAAGUACGUUUAUACUAAAAAAAAGGUCAAUUAUGGAAGGAGAAUCACCAGCAAUUUUUGUUAUAUAGAAGGAGAAUAUUCGAGAAAGUUGGAUAUAAUAAUGAUCAUUAAUUACUCUCUCGUUUCUUUAAAAUUAAUAUUAAUUAUAUUAUAUAAAUGAGUCCUAAAUACUUGAGUCGGGGUCUAUCGGAAACAGUCUUUCUACUUCUUCUGAAGUAGUGGUAUGAACUGCGUACAUCUUAUCCCCCAGAUUCCACUAUGUGGGAAUAGACCGGAUUUUUUGUUGUUGUUGUUGAGUCCUAAAUACAUUUGGUCACUAACUAAUAUUUAUAAAAUGUCCUAAAUACAUUUGGUUACUAAUUAAUGUUUAUAGAAUGUAAUUAGUAAAAUUUAGAUCAUAAAGUUAGUUAAGAGAAAUCUAAGGUGUCUAUAUGUGAAGUUUUUCAAAUAUUUAUUUGAUCAUAAAACUUAUCUAGUUGUUAGGUGGUUGUGAAAACUAAAUCUUCAAAUUCUAAAAGUCUCUUUUGAUCUGCUUUUAGUCCAAGAUAUACCGUUGGUUUUUCUAAAGAAUCAAAUAACUUGUCCAAAUUUUUAGAUUUUAUAAAAAGAAAGCUCCAUCUAUUAAAGACCCAAACAAUUUUUUAUCUCACCGCUAAGAGAUUGCUCUUACAAUGUAGGAAAAUUAUAUUAAAGGAUAGCUAGUUACUAUAAUGUUAUUACUUAUUUCUUUGUAUUGAUGGAUCUUCGUGACUAAUUAUAAUUUGACGAAUUAUAGUAGUUAGUAAUUGUGUUAUGUUAAGUCCUUAGUUUUAAUUAUUGAUAAAUUCAUAGUAUGGAACCUGUUCCUUGAGGUUUGGUGUUGACAAAAACUUCUACGUAUUAGGGAACAAGUUGAGUUCACCUGUCGUUGUCACAGUCAACAGUCCAGCUGACGCAUAGUACAAAAGUUGGUGAAAAACUUUGCCACCUUUUUGACUCAACUAAUGAGAUUUUUCUUAGAUUUUCUUGUUUCAUAAUAUAUAUUGCUCAUCUUUCUCAACAAGAAAACCAACACUUUCAUAUACUCACAAUUAAAUAUCUUUUCAAAGUGUUGCAGUGCUGCAUCAAAGACUGGAACUGGAACAAGGAACCUGUUGUUUAUCG
RNAcentral lists this long non-coding RNA (2957 nucleotides) under Capsicum annuum. RNAcentral describes it as "long non-coding RNA (CANN_LNC018526)". Lineage: Eukaryota; Viridiplantae; Streptophyta; Magnoliopsida; Solanales; Solanaceae. The record is from RNAcentral.